GUCUACAGCCAUGCCACCCUCAACGAGCCCGAUCUUAUCUGAUCUCAGAAGUUAAGCAGGGUCGGCCCUAGUUAGUUCUUAGAUGGGAGAUCACCUAGGAAUACCAGGUGCUGUAGGCG
This 119-nucleotide ribosomal RNA is filed under the name Pteropus alecto (black flying fox). The record is from RNAcentral. Lineage: Eukaryota; Metazoa; Chordata; Mammalia; Chiroptera; Pteropodidae.